CGUCACAUAAUUAGAGUAAAUACAAAGUAGACUGAUGUGCAAGUGGUGUGCUGUGUAUGAGCUCAGUGAUUUCUUACGAUUUUAUAAUGGAUAACAAUAAGAUACAGUUAAUCGGUGCACCUUGCGGACACCACGGCCCCUAUACGUUCUAUAAAGCGUUUAAAUAUAACAAAAACGGAAAGUGCAGGAUUUUAGCCCUAAGUGAUUUUUUCUUUGUGAAGUUAUGGAGUGAUUCUGAUUUAAUGAGUAUUGGAGAAUUACAGUUGUUGUGGAUGGACAAAAAUAGCGAACAAGUGCUAGCGAGCUUACGUUUAUAUUUUCUACCCGAAAAUACGCCAGAAGGAAGAAGUGAUGAUCAUGGAGAGGUACACGCGUGCAGUCCUACAUAUUGAAAUCCUCGCGUCACAGUCUAUCACACACAGUCCUGACACACACUGCUGUGAAAAUUGCCGUCUGACAAUUGAUACGACGCUAGCGCCCCUACGUGCGAGAAAGUCAGCCGUAAGCCACGCAGGCGGCAGAGAGCGCUUGGCUGCGCUGUCUCCCGACCACAGCGAUAAGGCCUCACCCACUGACGACGGGACCCUGGAGCACGGGUAGCGAAUGCGUCGCACAGUGUAGUGUCGUUCAGUACAGAAUGCAUUUUAAUGUUUCGUGACGUCUCUCUGUUCAAUUUACAAACACAUGCUUUAUUUACGUUUCAAUAUUUUUACACUGAAUCAGCAUCAUCAGACAAAAUAAUGUAAUGUCGUAAGUACAAGAAAAUAAUACAAUCGCACAUUUAAACAAAUGACACUACAUAAUACUACACUACAUAAUAGAUCACUUAGAAGAUAAAUACGCUACAUAAUUAGGU
Schistocerca americana (American grasshopper) is the source of this 856-nucleotide RNA transcript. It is a transcript of the gene named AT-rich interactive domain-containing protein 5B-like, with no coding region annotated. The record is from RefSeq and is a predicted model, not a curated record. The transcript has 4 exons. Lineage: Eukaryota; Metazoa; Arthropoda; Insecta; Orthoptera; Acrididae.